GACGAACGCUGGCGGCGUGCUUAACACAUGCAAGUCGAACGGAAAGGCCCUGCUUUUGUGGGGUGCUCGAGUGGCGAACGGGUGAGUAACACGUGAGUAACCUGCCCUUGACUUUGGGAUAACUUCAGGAAACUGGGGCUAAUACCGGAUAGGAGCUCCUGCUGCAUGGUGGGGGUUGGAAAGUUUCGGCGGUUGGGGAUGGACUCGCGGCUUAUCAGCUUGUUGGUGGGGUAGUGGCUUACCAAGGCUUUGACGGGUAGCCGGCCUGAGAGGGUGACCGGCCACAAUGGGACUGAGAUACGGCCCAGACUCCUACGGGAGGCAGCAGUGGGGAAUAUUGCACAAUGGGCGGAAGCCUGAUGCAGCAACGCCGCGUGCGGGAUGACGGCCUUCGGGUUGUAAACCGCUUUCGCCUGUGACGAAGCGUGAGUGACGGUAAUGGAUAAAGAAGCACCGGCUAACUACGUG
This 468-nucleotide ribosomal RNA is filed under the name uncultured bacterium. RNAcentral's name for it is "partial 16S ribosomal RNA". It matches the Rfam family "Bacterial small subunit ribosomal RNA", at positions 28 to 507 of the family's 1533-position model. The record is from RNAcentral.